RNAcentral lists this ribosomal RNA (386 nucleotides) under uncultured bacterium. RNAcentral describes it as "bacterial SSU rRNA". It matches the Rfam family "Bacterial small subunit ribosomal RNA", at positions 28 to 409 of the family's 1533-position model. The record is from RNAcentral.
GACGAACGCUGGCGGCGUGCUUAACACAUGCAAGUGGAGCGACGAACCAGGCUUCGGCCUGGGGCAGAGCCGCGAACGGGUGAGUAACACGUGGGUAACCUGCCUCGAUGACCGGGACAACCCGAGGAAACCCGGGCUAAUACCGGAUGUGCUCCUUCACAUCAGUGAAGACAGGAAAGGAAGCUUCGGCCUCCGCAUCGAGAUGGGCCCGCGGCCCAUUAGCUUGUUGGUGAGGAACGGCUCACCAAGGCUGCGAUGGGUAGCUGGUCUGAGAGGACGAUCAGCCACACUGGGACUGAGACACGGCCCAGACUCCUACGGGAGGCAGCAGUGGGGAAUCUUGCGCAAUGCGCGAAAGCGUGACGCAGCAACGCCGCGUGGGGGAA